AACAGGAUUAGAUACCCUGGUAGUCCACGCCCUAAACGAUGAAUACUCGAUGUUGGCGAUAUACGGUCAGCGUCUAAGCGAAAGCGUUAAGUAUUCCACCUGGGGAGUACGCCCGCAAGGGUGAAACUCAAAGGAAUUGACGGGGGCCCGCACAAGCGGAGGAGCAUGUGGUUUAAUUCGAUGAUACGCGAGGAACCUUACCCGGGCUUGAAAGUUAGUGAAUGUACCAGAGACGGUACAGUCCUUCGGGACACGAAACUAGGUGCUGCAUGGCUGUCGUCAGCUCGUGCCGUGAGGUGUUGGGUUAAGUCCCGCAACGAGCGCAACCCCUAUGUUUAGUUGCCAGCACGUAAUGGUGGGGACUCUAAACAGACUGCCUACGCAAGUAGAGAGGAAGGAGGGGACGACGUCAAGUCAUCAUGGCCCUUACGUCCGGGGCUACACACGUGCUACAAUGGAUGGUACAGAGGGCUGCUACCUGGCAACAGGAUGCCAAUCUCUAAAAGCCAUUCACAGUUCGGAUCGGGGUCUGCAACUCGACCCCGUGAAGUUGGAUUCGCUAGUAAUCGCGUAUCAGCAAUGACGCGGUGAAUACGUUCCCGGGCCUUGUACACACCGCCCGUCAAGCCAUGGAAGCUGGGGGUACCUGAAGUAUGUAACCGCAAGGAGCGUCCUAGGGUAAAACCGGUAACUGGGGCUAAGUCGUAACAAGGUAACC
Molecule: ribosomal RNA, 718 nt
Filed under: uncultured bacterium
Lineage: Bacteria
Description: bacterial SSU rRNA
Rfam family: Bacterial small subunit ribosomal RNA
Source: RNAcentral